AGCAAUAAUAUAAAGAGUCUCUUAAAGUACAGCAAAGACCUGGAGUGUAUUUUCUUCAGUCCUUGCUUUGAAUCCUCAGUGGUAAAUAUGAAAAAAAAAUCAGAAACAGAGACCAAUAGUGCAAAAACGUUUUAGGAAAGCUGGAUCACGAACAACAUAGAAGUAGAGAAGUGCCAACUCACAAUAUAAAGAGCUAUGCCCAGCUCUAGGUAAAACAGCAUACAGUGGUAUUUAAUACUCCCCACAUGUAGGAUAUAACUGGACACUUGGAGGUGUAUCCUCAAGAC
Molecule: non-coding RNA, 287 nt
Organism: Pelobates cultripes (western spadefoot toad)
Lineage: Eukaryota; Metazoa; Chordata; Amphibia; Anura; Pelobatidae
Source: the annotation of a GenBank genome assembly